GGAAAAAGGCAAAUUCGUUGAAAGAUGAAGACGCAAAGCUUUAGGGGCUAACGUACAUAUACGAUGCCAGCCAGUUACCGA
RNAcentral lists this non-coding RNA (81 nucleotides) under Robertmurraya massiliosenegalensis. RNAcentral describes it as "Cyclic di-GMP-I riboswitch". It matches the Rfam family "c-di-GMP-I riboswitch aptamer". Rfam says of the family: GEMM was predicted in a large-scale screen for bacterial structured RNA regulatory elements. Genes associated with GEMM are involved in a diverse array of functions, including chemotaxis regulation, signal transduction, secretion and chitin. Lineage: Bacteria; Bacillati; Bacillota; Bacilli; Caryophanales; Bacillaceae. The record is from RNAcentral.